This 118-nucleotide ribosomal RNA is filed under the name Naegleria gruberi. Lineage: Eukaryota; Heterolobosea; Eutetramitea; Acrasida; Naegleriidae. The record is from RNAcentral.
GGCUACGGCCAUAUCACGAUGAAUGCACCUCAUCCCGUCCGAUUUGAGAAGUUAAGCAUCGUCGAGCCACAUCAGUAUUGAGGUUGGAGACAAAUUGGGAACUGUGGUGCUGUAGUCU